This 731-nucleotide ribosomal RNA is filed under the name uncultured bacterium. Its description in RNAcentral is "bacterial SSU rRNA". It matches the Rfam family "Bacterial small subunit ribosomal RNA", at positions 771 to 1501 of the family's 1533-position model. The record is from RNAcentral.
AACAGGAUUAGAUACCCUGGUAGUCCACGCCGUAAACGAUGUCGACUUGGAGGUUGUGCCCUUGAGGCGUGGCUUCCGGAGCUAACGCGUUAAGUCGACCGCCUGGGGAGUACGGCCGCAAGGUUAAAACUCAAAUGAAUUGACGGGGGCCCGCACAAGCGGUGGAGCAUGUGGUUUAAUUCGAUGCAACGCGAAGAACCUUACCUACUCUUGACAUCCAGAGAACUUAGCAGAGAUGCUUUGGUGCCUUCGGGAACUCUGAGACAGGUGCUGCAUGGCUGUCGUCAGCUCGUGUUGUGAAAUGUUGGGUUAAGUCCCGCAACGAGCGCAACCCUUAUCCUUUGUUGCCAGCGCGUGAUGGCGGGAACUCAAAGGAGACUGCCGGUGAUAAACCGGAGGAAGGUGGGGAUGACGUCAAGUCAUCAUGGCCCUUACGAGUAGGGCUACACACGUGCUACAAUGGCGCAUACAAAGAGAAGCGACCUCGCGAGAGCAAGCGGACCUCACAAAGUGCGUCGUAGUCCGGAUCGGAGUCUGCAACUCGACUCCGUGAAGUCGGAAUCGCUAGUAAUCGUGGAUCAGAAUGCCACGGUGAAUACGUUCCCGGGCCUUGUACACACCGCCCGUCACACCAUGGGAGAGGGUUGCAAAGGAAGUAGGUAGCUUAACCUUCGGGAGGACGGUUACCACGGUGUGAUUCAUGACUGGGGUGAAGUCGUAACAAGGUAACC